UACGGGGGGGGCAAGCGUUGUCCGGAAUUACUGGGCGUAAAGGGCUCGUAGGCGGCCAACUAAGUCAGACGUGAAAUCCCUCGGCUUAACCGGGGAACUGCAUCUGAUACUGGAUGGCUUGAGUUCGGGAGAGGGAUGCGGAAUUCCAGGUGUAGCGGUGAAAUGCGUAGAUAUCUGGAGGAACACCGGUGGCGAAGGCGGCAUCCUGGACCGACACUGACGCUGAGGAGCGAAAGCCAGGGGAGCAAACGGG
This 253-nucleotide ribosomal RNA is filed under the name uncultured bacterium. Its description in RNAcentral is "partial 16S ribosomal RNA". It matches the Rfam family "Bacterial small subunit ribosomal RNA", at positions 524 to 776 of the family's 1533-position model. The record is from RNAcentral.